This 29859-nucleotide long non-coding RNA is filed under the name Populus trichocarpa (black cottonwood). Its description in RNAcentral is "long non-coding RNA (PTRI_LNC000845)". Lineage: Eukaryota; Viridiplantae; Streptophyta; Magnoliopsida; Malpighiales; Salicaceae. The record is from RNAcentral.
GUUGAUUUGCAUGUUAAAGAUAGAUGUGGUGAGCUUCGAGUUAUUCGUUGCCUGAAGAGAAAUGGAGUUUAUGACAAGCCAGUGCUUUCUAUGGGCUGGCUUAAAUUUGUUGCUGAUUAUGGACUGAGAGUUGGUGACAAGGUUGUUCUUCAUCGUGAGGAUGACCAGAACCUGGGGUCACAGUUCAUGAUUGAAGCUAAGAGGAGAAUCAUGCUGCUUGGUGAGGAGGCUUGGGGUGAUGUGACAAGAGCUAACUAGCUAUUAUUUGGAUGUUCGGCCAUAUCCAGAUAUAUAUAGAAGAAUGAAUUUAUGUAUGUGUUUAUGUUUGAGUGUUUGUAGUGAUCAUAAUCAAUGUCAUCUGCGUCAGUCUAAUUAAAUACAUAGAAGAAUGAAUUCCGUUUCCAAGAGUUUUUUUUUUCCAGGUUUUUCAAUUUUGUUGGUUUUUUAUUUUUAUUUUUUCUAUUUUGUGCGCAUUUCAAGUGUCUGAAAACGAGGAUUUCCAUUGAUUUGAUGGAUAAAUAAAUCGAAAUGGAUAAAAAAGAAAUAUAAUUCUUUAAAUCAUGGGAACUAACACAUGCAUUGGUGAUGCUAUGAAACAAAGAUCGAUUGAUUCAAAUCCAUCAUCAUCAAUAACAUAUCGUAUUUAGAUUCAUCAAAUUGAUUCGGUCAUACUAGUUUAGCAACUUUUUUUUUUAUUAGAGUUAGAAAAUUUAAAUUGAAGUUAUAUGUGGAUUCGAGUUGAAAUAACAUUUGUUGAAUUAAUAUUUUGAAUUUUAUAUAUAUAUAUAAAGAAUAGUUCAAUCUCAAAACGAUUUGUUGAAACGCUAUGAAACUAAAACAUUUAGUUUUAAUUAAAAAAACAGAACGAAAACCGGACUGAAGCAAUUGUAACAUGGACUCCACCAUUAGCCUGUGAACUCAAGAGUCCAACUUCCUCUUUCCUUCCUAGUUUAUGUGAAGUUUGCUUACUGAUUCACAUGUCCUUAAAAACUUUUACAGGUAUUACGGAUUGGUUUUGUGAUGUCUCAAGAGGACAGUUUUUUUUUUUUUCUUUUGUAAAGAAGUUUGAAGCAAGCAGGCAAGCAACCAUCAAGAAACUAGCUCAGUAUUGAAUUGAAACAUGUCCAGUCCUUCAAAAUUCACAGAAUGUAAUGGGAAUAGUGAGAGUAAUUCAAUAAAGAAGCACUGAAACAAAACCCCAUGUUUGGGAAUCAAAAUAAGUCCACAUGGAGGGAUUCACAAAAGGCAUCAAAAUUGAGAAGAGAAACUUACUCCUUUUCUCCUCCUCUUUUGAUAAGCCCAGAUGGAGGGAUUCACAAAGGCAUCAAAAUUGGCCCAAACCUGGAGCAAAACGCAAAGAAAUUAAGUUGGUAGCUAUACAAAACUCCUGCUUAGGAACUGGAAGAAAGAAAGCGAUUUGGCAUCGCUGCAGCAGCUAGAGAGAUCUUAAAAGAGAUGCUUAGCUUACCUCUUUACAUGUAUCAAAAACAAGAACACCCAAUAUUCCAAGCCUGGUUCACAUCCAAGAUAUCGAAGAGGUCAAUGCUUCGGUCAAUGCAGACGAGAGUGUUGAGGUCAACAGCCAAGUCUCCAUGAUUUGCUUAUUAUUUGGAUCCUCAAAAACAAAGAGCAAUACCAUGAGAAUAUUCGAAAGCAAUAAUUGAAGGAGCUUAAGCCAAGAUGCCAUUCAUAUAUAUUACGAUAUUAGGUAAAAAGAUUCCCUGGAACGGAGGACGAGAUUGCGUUUGAAGGAAAAGAAGCGGUAUUAUUUUGACUCACAAUCUUGGAACAAGUACAAAUAAGUCCUUCUCCUUUAUAGUCUGGCUAAUCUGCCCCCAAGCUUUCUUUCCAUGUUAGUCUUGCCUUGGCCUUUUGCCCUCUCUCACACUUAUAUUUGGAAUACCAUGAUUAGAGGCAACUCUGAAGCCAAAAUGGGCCAUAGCGGCUUCUUGUUUUUCUGCCAAGUGGUUCAAAAUGGCGCUGAAAUGGACUGUAGGAGCUUUGUUCUUGCGCUCAAAGCGUGCGGCGAGCAGUUUUUUAGAGUUUUAGGAGGGAAAUCAGUUCAUUGUGGUAUUCGAAAGAUGGGUUUUGUUUAUGCUAUGUUGUUUCAAGAUGGGUUGGCUCGUUUUUAUGAUCUGCGUGGUUGUUUGGGUUUUGCUUGACACUUGUUUGAUGGAAUUCCUGCAAGAGAUGGACUUUCUGUCUAUGACUGAUGGGUAUUCUAAGCGUAACUGUUGGGAUGAGACCUGGAUUCUGCAAGAGGGAAUUUUUUUUUUUUUUGUUUAAUGUGGGUGUCCGGGCUAGCUUGCGCGUAUCUCGACUAAUCCCACGGGCCCUGAAGUUAACGACCAUGUAAGCCUCCAGUGGCCAUCAUAUGAGCAACCACAGGGCUUGAACCUGAGACCACAGAGGGAACAAACCUCUUGGUCCCAAACUCUUACAAUUAGGCCACCACCUAGAUGGUUAAGAGGGAUCUUUGAUACCAUGGGAGUUAGAGAUGUGUUCUCUUGGACGAACAAGGUUAAUGGGUAUGCUAAAAGCGGCGAGCUAGAGCUGGCUAGGAUAUUGUUUAAUGAGAUGCCGGAGAGGAAUGUGGUCAUAUAAUUAAUUCCAAAUUAUAAAAAUAAAAAUUUAAACACAUUUAAACACGAAGUACUUAAACACAUCAUAUAAUUCCGAAGUACUUAAACACAUUUAAACACAUCAUAUAAUUAAUUUCAAAUUUAAAAAUAAAAAUUAAUAAUAGAUCAUCAAGAAUUCUCAAAUAUUUAUCAAAACGAAAAAUUUUGUUUCUUGAAAUUCCAUGAUUGCUGCUUAUGCUUCUCAUGGGCACGCUAAGCAAGCUCUGAUCAUUUUUUAGCAAAUGAGAAGUGGUGGAUGUAAGCCAGAUGAUAUUACAUUUGUGGAUGUCUUGCCAGCUUGUCACGGUGGCUUAAUUAGUUGCUAGCUGAAGGUCGAGAAUAUUUUCAAAAUAUGAAAAGAAAUUAUUUGUAAAUGAAUCGUUAAGGUUUGAUAUGAUUUUCACUUAGAAUUUUUUUAAAUACAAAAAAGUAUUGAAAAAGUCUAUAUAUUAAUUUUUUUGUUGAGAAAAAAAAAUCUAAUCAGCAGUGAAACGUAGGUUAAAUAUCUAGUAUAAACUAAAAGAGGUGGUGCUUUUAUUGCGCACUACCAUGUAAAAUACUCUUCAUUUCAAUAAAAAAAAUUUGUCUUUUUUUUCUAAAUAUAUAUAUAUAUAUAUAUAUAUAUUUUCUAAUUUUAUACUUCAAUAUUUAAUUUAUCGGAGAUUAGGUUUUAUAAUUUAUUGUAGUUUGCUUUAUACAUGAUUAGCUCGAUCUUGUAACCCGUGUCACGGGUUUGGCAGGUUGACUCCAGUUUUAUUUAUCUUUUUUAAUUGACAAUUUUUUUUUCAAUUUCAUCAUUCAACAUUAGGUUGAUUGGGAAUCAGGUUUCAUGAUUUAUUUUGGUUUGCUUUAUAUAAGGUUAUCUCGGUCUCAUUACUUAAAUCGCGGGUUUGGCGGGUUAACCUAUUUAACUCGAGUUUUUAUUGACUUUUUUAUUGGAUUUUUUUCUAUUUUAUCCUUCAACAUUUAGUUGAUUAUGAAUUAGGUCUCAUGAAUUAUUUUGGUUUGCUUUCUAUGGGGUUAUCUCGGUCUUAUGCUCGGGUCACGUGUUUUGUCGGUUAACCCGGAUAAAUUCAUAUUGUUUUGUUGUAUCCUAUUUUUAAAUUUAAUUUUCUUCAUUUUCAACCUCUAACAAUGAGCUUAUUGAAAAUUAGGCUUUAUUAUUUUUUUUAUUUGCUUUUAACAGGGUUAUCACAGUCUUUUGACCUUGGUCGCGAGUUUGAUAAAUUAAUUCAGGUUGACUCAUGUUUUUUUUAUUUACUUUCUAUGAGAUUAUCUUGAUUUUUUUUCUAAUUUCAUACUUCAAUAUUAGUUUAUUGGAGAUUAGGAUUCAUAAUUUAUUGUGGUUUGAUUUAUACGUGGUUAGCUCGGACUUAUAACCCAUAUUCCAGGUUUGGCGGGUUAACUCGAGUUUGUUUUCUCUCUUUUAAUUGACCUUUUUUUUUCAAUGUAAUCAUUCAACAUCAAGUUGAUUGAGAAUUAGGCUUCAUGAUUUAUUUUGGUUUGUUUUUUAUGAGGUUCUCUCAGUCUCAUAACUCGAGUUGCGGGUUUGGCGAGUUGACCCGGUUGACUUGAGUUCUUUUUUAACUUUUUCAUUGGCAUUUUUUAUAUUUCAUGAUUCGGCAUUGGUUUGAUUGUGAAUUAGGCUUCAUGAUUUAAUUUUUUUGUUUUCUAUAAGGUUAUCCAGUCUUAUGCUCAGGUUAAGUGUUUUGCGGGUUAACCUCGGUAGACUCAAGUUGUUUCACUGUGUUCUAUUUUUCAAUUGAUUUUUUUUACAUUUUCAACAUUUAACAAUGAGUUUAUUAAAAAUUAGGCUUCAUAAUUUAUUUUGAUUUUCUUUUAAUGGGGUUAUCACAAUAUCAUGACCUUGAUCGCAUGUUCCACAUAUUAAUCCAUGUUAAAUCAAGUAAUUUUUUCAUUUACUUUUCACGAGGUUAUCUUGAUAUGAUGACCCGGAUCACAGGUUUAACAGGUUAACCUAGAUAUUUUUUUUAUUUUUAAUUAAUUAUUUUCAUUUACAUUCUUCAACAAUGAGUUGAUUGGAAAUUGAGCUUUGUAAUUUGUUUUGAUUUAUUUUUUAUGGGGUUAUCAUGGUUUUAUAAUCUAGGUCAUGGAUUUGACAGAUUAACCUGCGUUAGCCCGAAUCGAUUCAAUAUGUUAUCAUUCUAAUAUUAUUUAAAAAAAAAUGUUGUCUUGAAUUUUUGUUAUUCGAACAACGUUUUCACAGGUUGACUAGGGUUACUUAUGGAUCCAUUAGGUCGAUUAGGUCACAUCGGCUCAAUCUCCACACAGUUUUAAAAAAUAUUUACUUGAAAAAAUUAGCAAUGCCCAGAUGUUUCUUUUGUAUGCUAAAAAAAUUGAUCUGACCCGAGGCAUAGAUCAGGUUAACGAUCUAGUCUAUCAACAAAAACUAAUGGAGGGAAAUCAUUGUUCCUUUCCUUGAAUGCUACUAUUUAAGUGUUGCUCAUUGGAAAGAAGGUGGAUCGUGCCAUACCGAGUGUUAGACCAAAUUUUUUCCAACACUAAAAAAGGAUAUUCAUCUGAGACAACCAGGUUAAAUUAACUAAAACAUAGCCUAGGUUAUGAGAUCGAAAGAACUCGUAAAAAGAAAAUUAGAAAGUUCAAAGCCUAAUAACCUAAUGUCAAAGAUAAAAACUAAAAAAAAACAAAAAGAGCUUCAAAAAAUACAACGCCGAAGAAGAAAACUUGAGUCAGCUCAGGUAACUUGACAAACCAACAACCCAUGAUAUGAUUUUGGGAUAAAAAAGAGAAUUUCAAAAGGAUGACCUAGUAAAAAAACCAAAGUUUGAUGAAAAAAAAUGUCAAAAAAACUUGAGUCAAUCCUGGUUAACUUACCAAGCCACUAUCAGAAUAACCAUACAGUAAAAAAAGUUAAAACAUAAAAAAUUUCAAGGGCAAAUAAUUUAAUGUAAAAUGAUGCAAUUGAAAAAAAAAGUCAUAAAAAAAUUCAAGGGAAAAAAAUCCAAGUCAACCUGGGUUAACUUUACUAACCCAUCACACACGACAUGAGAUAUGGAUGGGAAAAAAAUUAGACCUCCAAAAAAGGGCCAGGCAAAAAAGACCUAAGUUAAAUAAAAACACAUUGUGAACAAAAAUACAAGUUGACCCUAGUUAACUUGAUCAACCCAUUCUUGAAAUAACAAAACAGAAAGAGAAUUAAAAAAAUAACAAAGCUUAGGGCAAAUAAUUUAACGAAAAAUAAAAAAAUAAAAAGAAUAAAAACAAAUUUAUAAAGAAAUUGGGGGGAAAACACCGAGUCAAUUCGGGUUACUUCGACUGACCCACCACUCUCGGCAUGAGAUCAAGAUAAAAAAAAUAGACUUCCCAAAGAAAGACCUAGUGAAAAAUACCGAAGUUAAAUAAAAAAAACAUUGAAUAAGAAAAUGCAUGCUAACCCGGGUUAACUUGAUUAACAUGUACUCGAGAUAACCCAAAAUAAAUAAAUAAAAUGAAAAAAUCACAUAGGUCAAGGACCAAUAAUUUAACAUCAAAGUAUAAAAUUGUUAAAAAAAAUAUAAAUUCAUAAAAAAAAUCAAGGAAAAAAAACAUGAGGUAAUUAUAGUUAACUCAAUAAAAAGAAAAGAGUAAAACUAUUAUCCAAAAUAUAAAAUUGAGAUAACUCAAUAAAAAGAAAAGAGUAAAAUUAUAAAGUUAUAAAGGGUUUAAUAACUAAAUAUCAAAGGAUAAAUUUUUUAAAAAAAUUUGAAUAAAGACCUGCCUUGUUGGGAGACAACUAUAAAAAAAAUAGAAAAGUAAAAUAUUCAAGAGGAUGAUCAUAGCAUUAACGGUGAAGCACUUCCAGAUAGAAGUCAAGAGUGAGUUAGAAGGUUUCAGCAGUUGCGUUUGAAGCUUAAGAUGGCCAAUAACUGGGCUGGUGUUUCAAGAUUCAGCCGUGUAAAUUGUGAAACUAAUUGUGAUUGGAUAGUAAUUGUCCGUCUAAUUAAUGCACUGAUUAUUGUUUUAAAAUAGAAAGUACAAAUAUAAAUAUAAAUAUAAAAGAACAAACAUGUUUCGGGUUAAUUAGUGAGAUAAAUACAAAAUACCGAUGGAAAAUAGUCCGUCGGUAAAUCCGUUGGUAGUUAGCGAAUUUCUGGUAGUGAAAAUAAAGGGGAAAAAACAUGAGGCAAUUAUGGUUAACUUGACUAACCUAUUACCCGAAAUAUGAGAUUGAGAUAACUUAAUAAAAAAAAAGAGUGAAACAAUGAAGUUAAGGGUUUAAUAACUAAAUGUUAAAAGAUAAAUUAAUAGCAUGUUGGGAGACAACUAUAAAAAAAAAAUAGCAAAAUAAAAUAUUCAAGAGGAUGAUCAUGGCAUUAACGGUGAAGCACUUCAAGAUGGAAGUCAAGAGGAAGCUAGAAAGUUUCAGCAGUUGCGUUUGAAGCUUAAGAUGGCCAAUAACUGGGCUGGUGUUUCAAGAUUCAGCCGUGUAAAUUGUGAAACUAAUUGUGAUUGGAUAGUAAUUGUCCAUCUAAUUAAUGCACUGAUUAUUGUUUUAAAAUAGAAAGUACAAAUAUAAAUAUAAAACGAACAAACAUGUUUCGGAUUACAAGAUAAGUAUGUUUUUUAAUUUUUUUGGUGUCUAAACUAUCUUAAUAGGAAACCUUUGGGAAAAAUUAAUAAAGAACAAGGAUAAGAAACCGCUGCCUGUCAAAAAGAAAUCGUAUAGCCUCGUCCGAGUAGAAACGUCAUUGCCCACAGCGCUGACGGUCUCGGUCGAUGGUACAGACGUGAUCCGGUGUGGCAAAUUUUUCAAACACAGACACCGAGCAUUUCAAAUCAGUGGAACUCGAAAUCCAAAAGCGAUUACUCGAUGCAUGCUGCAGAGAUCGAGCGUAAUUCUAGAGAUUAUAUUAUAAAAAAUAUAGUGUGGACCCAGAAUUGAAAAUGACUUCAAAUUUUGGACAGGCAUGGAAGGAUUUGCCCUUCAACAACAUCGUGCACCUUGUUGCUUAUUCGAACAAAAACCUCGCAGAAAUCUCAAGAAAAUGCAGGAUGUAGCUCUCCCUCUCUGCGGACCUUAUUGAUGAAACUUUGGGCGGACUUAGAGCACAUGCCUGCAAGAUCAAGAACCAGCUUUAUCUAAAAUCACAAGAGCCAAUAAUAAUGGUAAAAUACAAUUAACUGGUAACAAAUCUUAUGCAAUGUAUUUUCAUAUUUAAGUUACACACUGUAAAAAUAACUCCAUAAACAUGUAAUUAAUUUAUUUAUUUUUGUUAAUGCUCAAUAUUAUACUGAUCCUAGAUAAUUGAAGUGAGGAGUGAAAGCCUCGUCUCUUAAGAGGGGACAUUAUCCCAAGUUCAUGACCCAGACUUAAAAUGAAUAGGAAUAUCCUAGAUAAAAUUAUAAAUGAAACCUUUUAAAAUAUAAUUUUUAAGAAAUAUAUUUUAAUUUAUUAUUAUUCAUGUAUGUCUAGUAAUAAAAAGAAUAAUUUUCAUUUCAUAAAAUAUAAUUGAAAAAUAAACCUUGUCCUUAUUUAUUCUUGUAGUUUUUUUUAUUAAAUGGGGUCCUGGGUCAUUGCCCAUGUUGCCCAAAAUGCUCUAGCUCACUAAACACUUAGACAAGCAUGCAAGAUCUUCAGCAAGUGUUUGGUUUUCGCAAGUUAGAACGAACGAGGUGCUCGAGAGGCAAUACGAGCGUACCUCCCGACUCAUUUAGUCUUUGAAAAAGCGUAGUCAUAAGCCUGCGUUUCUCUUGUUCUAUUUACAAAUAAUCCAUCAAGAUUUAAAUAACGCCAUGCGAAAUCGAUCAAAUGAACAAGAUUUCCGAAAUCUCUCGCUCGAUGUCUUUCUACCGUGAAUACAGUAGCUAGCUAGUUGUGAUUUAUUAUAAAUCACAAGCUCACUGCAAGAAACUAUCAAUCCAGCAGAUAGCUUAAACGCAACCAUUUCUCUCUAUUUUCACGACCCUGGAGAAAAAAAUGCAGAUCUUCAGCAAAGAGUUGACAGAUACUGAUGUUCGUUUUCGGUUAUCGUUCCCAACUCAUUGCUUGCAGCAUCUAGAUUUUGCUGGAAAUAAUCUUGUUGAUUUGCAUGUUAAAGAUAGCUAUGGUGAGCUUCGAGUUAUUCGUUGCCUGAAGAGAGAUGGAGAUUAUGACAAGCCAGUGCUUUCUAAGGGCUGGCGUAAAUUUGUUGCUUAUUAUGGACUGAGAGUUGGUGACAAGGUUGUUCUUCAUCGUGAGGAUGACCAUAACCUGGGGUCACAGUUCAGGAUUGAAGCUAAAAGGAGUAUCAUGCUGUUUGGUGAGGAGGCUUGGGGUGAUGUGACAAGAGCUAACUAGCUUUUAUUUGCAUGGAGCUUGCAUGUUCAGCCAUAUCCAGAUAUAUCUAUAUAUAUAUAUAUAUAUAUAUAUAUAUAUAUAGAAGAAUGAUAUGUAUUUGUUUGAAAACAACACAAUAAAUAUGUUGUUGUUCUUCGUUUCUUGAAUAUAUAUUGAAUUAUAUGUGAUCAGAUUCCGUCUCUAAUAGUUUGAGUUAUAUACUAUACAUGUGCUGAUCACAAAUUACGUUUAUUUCUGGCAAUUUUCAUGACAACCACUCACCAAGACUGUCUAAUUUGCUCCGUUAAGUCUAGAAUAGUCGGUAUAUCUCGUUUCAGUUUAAAAAAUAUAAUAAAGCAGAACAGAUUUCUUCUUACUUAUAAUCUCAGUUCAUUCCAUAAACUCCAACCAAAUUUUGGCUGGGACUACUUUCCUGUUCCGUUUUAGACAAAUAAUUUUGUUUUUGAUUCUUUUAAAAAAUAUUGUUUAACUUUACGGUAUUAAUCAUAUUUGUCAAUCUAAAUAUUGGAUCAAGUUGAAAUUUUACUAGAAGUCUCAUGAUAUAUUGUUAUAUCUCAGGUUAAAAAUUUAAGACAAUCAAGGUUUACAAAGACCUUGCAUGAUUGUCGAUGAUAUUUUCUUAAUUUUAUUUUAAAACAUCAUCUUUUUGUGUGUUUUUUUAUAUUAAUAUUUUUUUUCAAUUUCAUUAUUUAACAAUAGGUUUAUUGAGAAUUAAAUUUUAUAAUUUGUUUUGAUUUAUUUUAUUUAGGGUUAUUAUGAUCUCAUAACCCAGAUCAUGGAUUUAUAAAGUUAACCAGAGUUGAUUCAAUAUGUUGUCGUUUCAAUAUUUUUUAAAAAUAUAUGUUAUUUUUUUUCAAUAUAAACUAUAUUUUUACUAAUUGUUCAAGUUGUUUUUGGACUCAUCAAAUUGAUUGAGUCAUACCGGUUUAACUUCUACUCUUUUUUACUAGUAUUUAAAAUUUGAAUUGCUUAAUUUAAAUUUAAGUUACUUUGAAUUUAAGAUGAAAUCAUUUUCAUUAAAUUAAUAUUUUGAAUUAUACAUAUAAAUAGCACAACCCUACAAACAAUAUAUUCAAACUUUUUCAAUUGAAAAAACAGAACGCUAAUCUAAACGGAUUUGUUAAUUUAAACAAAGCAAUUGUAACAUGGACUCCACCAUUAGCCUGUGAACUCAAGAUUCCAACUUCCCCUUUCCUUCCUAGUUUAUGUGAAGUUUGAUUGGUUUUGUGAUGUCUCAAGAGGAAGUUUUUUUUUUUUUUUUUUUGUAAAGAAGUUUGAAGCAAGCAAGCAACCAUCAAGAAACUAGCUCAGUAUUGAAUUGAAACAUGUCUAGUCCUUCAAAAUUCACAGAAUGUAAUGGGAAUAGUGAGAGUAAUUCAAUGAAGAAGCACUGAAACCAUAUCAUACAUAAUUGAGAAGAGAAACUUACUUCUUUCCUCCCCCUGGUUUGAUAAGCCCAGAUGGAAAGAUUCACAAAAGGCAUCAAAAUUGGCCCAAACCUGGAGCAAAACGCAAAGAAAGUUGGUUGCUAUACAAAACUCCUGCUUAGGAACUUGAAGAAAGAAAGCGAUUUGGCAUCGCUGCAGCAGCUAGAGAGAUCUUAAAGGAGAUGCUUAGCUUACCUCUUUAAAUGUAUCAAAAACAAGAACACCCAAUAUUCCAAGCCUGGUUCACAUCCAAGAUAUUGAAGAGGUCAAUGCUUCGGUCAAUGCAGACGAGAGUGUUGAGGUCAACAGCCAAGUCUCCAUGAUUUGCUUAUUAAUUGGAUCCUCAAAAACAAAGAGCAAAUACCAUGAGAAUAUUCGAAAGAAAUAAUUGAAGGAGCUUAAGCAAAGAUGCCAUUCAUAUAUAUUAAGAGAUUAGGUAAAAAGAAUGGGGAACUACCAGGAACGUAGGACGAGAUUGCGUUUGAAGGAAAAGAAGCGGUAUUAUUUUGACUCACAAUCUUGGAACAAGUACAAAUAAGUCCUUCUCCUUUAUAGUCUGGCCAAUCUACCCCCAAGCUUUGUCUUGCCUUGGCCUUUUGCCCUCUCUCACACUGCAGAUAUAAAUCAUGCUCGUCUUCUGUUUUCGCAGAUACAAAACCCCAGUACUUAUAUUUGGAAUACCAUGAUUAGAGGCUACUCUGAAGCCAAAAUGGGCCAUAGCGGCUUCUUGUUUUUCUGCCAAAUGCUUCAAAAUGGCGCUGAAAUGCACUGUAGGAGCUUUGUUCUUGCGCUCAAAGCGCAGUUUUUGAGAGUUUUAGGAGGGAAAUCAGUUCAUUGUGGUAUUCGAAAGAUGGGUUUUGUUUAUGCUAUGUUGUUUCAAGAUGGGUUGGCUCGUUUUUAUGAUCUGCGUGGUUGUUUGGGUUUUGCUUGACACUUGUUUGAUGGAAUUCCUGCUAGAGAUGGAUUUUCUGUCUAUGACUGAUGGGUAUUCUAAGCGUAACUGUUGGGAUGAGACCUGGAAGCUUUUUUACUCGAUGUCAGUGGAGGGUAAUGUAGAGCCAGAAGAGGUCACUAUGAUAGCCGCUCGUUCAGCUUGCUCGCAGAAGGGGGGUUUGAGAUCAGGGAAGAGUUUUCACGAAUAUGUAAAACUAGAAAUGCAAGUGACCAUGAAUGUGAAAUGUGGCUGCUUGGAUUCUGCAAGAGGGAUCUUUGAUACCAUGGGAGUUAGAGAUGUGUUCUCUUGGACGAGCAUGGUUAAUGGGUAUGCUAAAAGCGGUGAGCUAGAGCUGGCAAGGAUGUCGUUUAAUGAGAUGCCGGAGAGGAAUGUGGUUUCCUGGAGUGCCAUGAUUGCUGGGAAACCACCCAAAGGAAGCUUUAGAAUGGUUUGUUACAUGCUGGAGGCUGCGUUUGUUCCAAUGGAGAACAUUAGUUCGUGUGCUCUCUGCUUGUGGUCAAUUGGAUUGCUUGGAAUUUGGUCAGUGAAUCCAUUGAAAUUACAUUAUCGUUACAAAACACAACGAAUCAGUGUGAUCAUAGCAAACGCGUUCAUUGACAUGUAUUGCUAAAUGUGGGGUCAUACAUGAAGCUGAAAAUAGGGAGUGUCAGCGUUUGGAGUCAUCAAAACCUGAAGGAGAGAGGAAUUUAUCUAUUUUUUAUUCUGCUGAGAGAAGGGUGUGGCAGUUAGAGAAGAAUGAGAAUUUUACUGUUAAAUCAGCUUGUGCUCUCACCGAUGAUAUUCAGCAUCCAGGAUCUGAGAAUUUUGAUAAUUUACUGUAGCAAGUAUAUUUCCUCCUAAAAAAUUGCGAUGUUUUUGUGGUUGUUGUUACAAGGUAGUCUGAGUUCCAGAAAAUUUCUUGCCUAUAGAAGAAUUAUUAGUUAUGAUUAUGCAAUGGAUUGAGUGUGAUGGGUGUAUGCUGAAGACUAUUCAGCUUUCCUUGCAGGAAUGAAAUCAUUUGUCAAAUGGAAAAUUUCAGUGCAAAGUCAUCUAUAUACUUUGUUGUGAUAUCUUAUAGUCUAUUAAGCCUAUUAUUGCUGCUUUGAAAAGCGCGAAGAAGAAAGUUGGUUGCUAUACAAAACUCCUGCUAAGAAACUAGAAGAAAGAAAGCGAUUUGCUGCACCUCAUGAUGUAUCAAAAACAAGAACACCCAACAUAGUUCCAUUCAUUUCAAUGAAAUGAAUGCUCGAAUUCCAAGCACAUAAACUUGUAAUUGUAAAGGCCAAUGCUUAAGUACCCGAUAAAAAUGAAGCAAACUCAUCAAACAAAUCCCUAGUGAUUCUGAAAAAAGGGUUAAAACAUGUACAAUUUUUUUUUAAUUUAUAUAUUUUAUGAAUAUGUUUUUUUUCUCUUCUCAGCUUCACUCACAACUACACUAAGAUAAGAUUUUUCUUUGUUCUUCUUUUUUUUUACUUUUUUUCAUUAUAUUUGUUUUUUUAUAAAUUUUUAUGUUCUUAAUAAUUGUAUGAAUGUUUUUGUAGGAUUUUUUUUUUUCAUAUGAGGUCAAUGUUGUUGUUGUUUUAUUUUUAGUUGAUUUUCUUCUCUUUUUUUUCCAAGCAACUCAAUUCCGAGUAUUAUGGAGUGUUAAAUUAUAUUAAUUUAAUUAUUUUCUAGUUUUGUUAAAUAGAUUUUUUUAAAAAAAUAUUUUUAAAUAAUCACCGACAGAAUUGUAUAUGGUAUUUUUUUAUUAUAUAACAAUUUUCCCAGGGGAAAUACCGACAGAAUGAAGCGGGUAUUUUUUUUACGCGCAUCUUUCGUCUGUAAAACCAUCUGGUUUUUUUUUUACCGACAGAAUUAACGACAGAUGAUGGAAUUACCGAUGAACAUUAUUCCGACGGACGUAUUCCAUCGGCGAAUUAGUCGGUAAAAUUUUCACCAACGGAAAGGUAAUCUCACGCCGAUGGAAAAAUUCCGUUGAUAAAACUGUUAAAUGUUGUAGUGUAGUAUAAUUAUGAGAUUCCUAUUAUAUCAAAGCAUUGUUCCUAAAAUGUUCCUAGUUGAUGCUCUCUUAAAUACUAGACAUUUAUUAGAGCAAUUGAGACUGAUACAUAUUAUAUUCUUUCUUUUAUGAAAUGAAGCAGCUGUUAUAAGACAUGUACACUAAACUGACCCGCGUGAGAAUUUCAUAUGGAAAGAUCACCAAUGUCUAUGGAAAGGCUCACAUGAUGGUUGUGUAAGUGAUCUUUAAACUUAAUAUCACUAAGUUAUCUUAAAUAAAUAAUGUUCUGCUUUGAUUCGUUACAUGUUAUCUUAAUCGAGGUAAUAAAAGGGUAGACAUUGAGUAUACAUUGAACUAUAUGAAAGUAUUUGAGUGAUCAAGGGAGGAUUCAUUACCCUAUGUGAAUUAGAGAAAAUAUUUCAUAUGUUCUCAAAUAGUAUUGACUGAGAAAUCCUUGGCCAAGAUGGAAUAAGAUUUGAAAAGAGUUUUAAAUCUUAUUCCAAUGAUCAAUGACUAUUAUAUAGAGAACAAACAUGAUUUUAUAUGGCAGACAUACUUCAUGCUUUAAUGUUAAAUCAGAACAUUAUUGAUGAAAGGAUAUUAAUUACACUGAAAAACUAGUCACUCAAAGGUUAAGUCAAACCACUAAUGACUUCUCUAAUAUUUAGGGAAUCAUGACACGUUGUUAGACAAUGCACCUGAUCUUUAAAUAUAAAUUAAUCAAUUGUUUAAUUGAUAAUAAAUUAAAUUGUUUAAUUUAUUUAAUUAGAAUUAUAAUUUAUAUUUGGGCCAACAUAUUAGGAACUUAAUGGGUCACACACAUUAAGAACCACUAGUCAUAAAUUAAACUAGGAUAAUUUAAUUAGGUAUAACUUGAUUAAAAUAUAUUUUAGAAAUUAAGGGCUAGAAUACAAUUAAUACAAAUAUUAUAUUUCUAGACCUAGAAAAAUCAAGAAAGGACUCGAUUAAGUUAAUAUGUAAAAUUAUCCUGAAUUAAAAUAUAGAUAUUAUUCAAGGGGCAAAUUGAAAUGUCUUCUAAUUUAUAGGAUUUUUUAAAUUUUUCUAUAAAUAGUAAGCUAUGCUUCUUAAUUAAUGCUUCUUAAUGUUUCAGUUUCAUCCUCAACAUUUACUCAAUUGGAGACCGGGGUAUGUUAUUUUUAUUUAUUUUCUUUCUAUUGAUAUUUUCAUUGAUUUUUAAAAUAACUCAAUUUAUCUCAGGUCUUUUUAUUUGUCUUUCUUUGUUGAAUUUUCUUUAGCUAGUUUUCUAAAUUGAUUUUUUUGUCUAGUUAUAUCAUUCAAUAUUAAAUUAGUUAGGAAUUAAGCUUAUUUAUAUUGCCCGGGUGUAGGAUUAGAAAGUUUGUUAUUUAGCCAUAGGUUUCAAGUUUAAGACAUUAGCCCAGGUUUAGAAAGUUCAUCUAAAUAUUAUUAGUGAUUAGGCUCUUUUCUAUUUUUAUAUGCUUUCUAUAUGAAUCUUUGUGUAAACCCCCAUAAAUAAAAAUAAAAUAAAAUAAAAUAAAACAUAGGAUCAAAGUAAUGAGGUUUUGAUGAGUAAUGGAGAUUUGGUAUGAAAGAAAUGAAUAAAUAGUAGGAAAGAUAAUAAAUGUGUCAUGUAAGAGAGAUAAUCUCCAUAGAUAAAUUUAAAGGUAUUAUUGAAAUCAAAAUGAGGGUUAUGAUUUUUAGUUUAAAACUCGUAACGUUGGCGAAACCCGUGACGAGAUGGAUAAAAAAAUAAAAAAAAUGAGAAGAUAUGUAAACCCCCGUCAAAAAACUUAUUUUGACAAAUUAGUGAUAAAUGUCACACCCGACAUCGCGGCGGCCUUAAAAAUGGUUCUCAAAUUAUGGAAAAAAUAAAGAAUAGAUUUCUAGCAUCUAGUUCUUUUAGGGGAAAAAGGUCUUGUUUAAAGAGUCGCCACCUAGUAUUAUGGUCACUAGGAACCCUAACUGGUCAAUAGAGAUUCUAUGGUACGGGAUUGGUUACGUAAAAGGGAAGAUAUUAUCACCCCUUAAACGUUCUGCCUGAGGCAGACUGCAUUAAUGGUUUUUUCUUAAAGUGCUAAAUUUUUAUUGGUUUAUGCUCUGAUGGUUUAUUCGAAUAUUCCUGACUCUGACACUAGUGAAUAUUCAACUACAGAUAAUUCCAACUAUGACGUUGGUAAAUAUUACGUAGCUGUAAAAUAAAUUAGAUCAAUAUUUUUUAUUCCCUUCUCUAGCGCUAGUGAAUAAAUAAAUAAAAAUAAAUUUAUUUUUAAGCAUGCACAUAUUUUUAGUUUUCUAGCUAAAUAAAAUAAAAUACAACGAAUAAAAAUAAUAUAAAUUUAGACCGGUAUUUUUAUUCCUGACUCUGGCGUCAGUGAAUAAACUAAUAAAUUUAUAUUAUUUUUAUUCAUGCAUAUACAUUUUUUAUUUAUUUUUUAUUUUUUCUACUUUUUUUAUUUUUUCGUUUUUUUUGUUUUUUCUAUAUUUUGAGGGCUGGGCUCGGCCUGGCCCAGCCCAGCCGGUCACUGGCCCAAGCCAGUGACCGGUUGGGUGCAUAAAGCACGCGUGAAUUAAAAUGCAAGGAGGGAAAGAGCAACUUACAUGGCGCUGCACUUGAAGAUGAGUAUGACGGGGAUGGAGGACUGGCCGGCUGAUGCUAUUUUCUCCUCCUCUUUUUUUCUUGGUGUUCCUCUGUUUGCGGCUUCGUCCUCCUGUGUUCCCUUCGUGUUCUGGGUUCUGAAGACCAGGGCGAAUCUGGGUGCGCUGGCUUUUUCUCCGGUUGCUUCUCCCCAGUUUGUGCCCUGUUUGCGUCUUCGUCCUCAUGUGUUCCCUUUGUGUUCUUCGUUUUCGUCUCCUUUUGUUUGCGUCUGUUUGCCCUAUAGAGGGCAGUGGCCCCCCUUUUCCUCCGUGGCCUUCUCUGGCUUUUAUAAAGCUGGAGGACGGCCUCUGUUUCUUUGAGCAGAAACAGGGGAACCGAAGUCUGCCCUUUUUAUCUCUUCACUAAUCCCCUCGGUUUUUGCCCCUGCUCAGGACAAAGGAGAUGGUAAUAAAAGCAUGACGUUCUGCAGGUUGAACGUGAGCUCCCUCUGGUUUCUCUCUUUUCUUUUUUUUUAGUUUCUUCUUCCUCUGUUUUCUUCUUCCUAUCCUCGGUUCUGCCCCAGUUUUUUCUUUUUCUCCCGUUCGUCGCUUUCUCCUUGCCCCUUGCGCUCUCUCAUCUUCUCUGGCUUUAUAGCAAGAGAAUGCCAAGCACUUUGAAACGGCUUCCACCCUUUACUCCAGCAACGGCUCCUGCGAAUAAGAUGAACAGCGCUCCUUCAAACGACGCCGUUUUGGGAUAUGAGGUGGAUAUUUUCGUCUUGACCCGUGAAAUUUCGAAACUGUUGUAAUUAAGCCCCUGGUUUGAACUGUAAUUUCCCCUGCAUUUCGGUGCCAUUUACAAGUUAGUCCUUGGACUUUAAUCUGUUGCCAUCGUGCCCCCAAUUAACCCCAAACUUUGCUAUUUCUUCAAUUAAGUCCCUGAUUAAUUUAAUUAAAUCUAAGUCUAAUUAAGUCUAAAACUUAUCAAUUCUCUAAUUAAGCCCUUGAUUGAUUAAUUAAAUUAAUUCCAAGCUCAAUUAAGUCUCAAAACUUAUCAAUUAUCCAAUUGAACCCUUGAUUGAAUUAAUUAAAUUAAUUCCAAGCUCAAUUAAGUCUCAAAACUUAACAAUUCUCCAAUUAAACCCUUAAUUGGAUUAAUUAAAUUAAUUCCAAGCUUAAUUAGAUUAAUUCCAAAGUUUAAUUAAACCCCAAAACUUCCAAUCAUUGCCCUUAAACCAAAUUUUAAUUCAUUCUUCAUUUAUUUUAUUUUACUUGUUUUUUUUUCAUCAUUAUUAUUUUUUUAUCAUCAUUUUUUUUUAUCCUUUUCAAUAAAUAAAAUAUUAUUAAAAUAAAAUGGUCAAUAUCAAGAAACAACAUUUUCUAAAAUCACAAGUGCCAAAAAUAAUGGGAAGGAUGGGCUAGGUAAAAUACAAUUAACUGAUAACAAACCUUAUUUAUAUAUUCUUGUAGUUUUUUUAUUAAAUGGGGUCCUUGGCCAUUGCCCAUGUUGCCCAAAAUGCUCUAGCUCACUAAACACUUAGACAAGCAUGCAAGAUCUUCAGCAAGUGUUUGGUUUUCGCAAGUUAGAACGAACGAGGUGCUCGAGAGGCAAUACGAGCGUACCUCCCGACUCAUUUAGUCUUUGAAAAAGCGUAGUCAUAAGCCUGCGUUUCUCUUGUUCUAUCUACAAAUAAUCCAUCAAGAUUUAAAUAACGCCAUGCGAAAUCGAUCAAAUGAACAAGAUUUCCGAAAUCUCUCGCUCGAUGUCUUUCUACCGUGAAUACACUAGCUAGCUAGUAUAAAUUAACAAGGUCCUUGAAAGAAACCAUAUCAAUCCAGCAGAUAGCUUAAACAUAACCAUUUCUCUCUUUUUUCACGACCCUUGAGAAAAAAAUGCAGAUCUUCAGCAAAGUGUUGAGAGAUACUGAUGUCCAUGUUCGGUUCUCGUUCCCAACUCAUUGCUUAGAGCAUUUAGAUUUUGCUGGAAAUAAUUAUGUUGAUUUGUAUGUUAAAGAUAGCUGUGGUGAGCUUCGAGUUAUUCGUUGCCUGAAGAGAAAUGGAGUUUAUGACAAGCCAGUGCUUUCUAUGGGCUGGCUUAAAUUUGUUGCUGAUUAUGGACUGAGAGUUGGUGACAAGGUUGUUCUUCAUCGUGAGGAUGACCAUAACCUGGGGUCACAGUUCAUGAUUGAAGCUAAGAGGAGAAUCAUGCUGCUUGGUGAGGAGGCUUGGGGUGAUGUGACAAGAGCUAACUAGCUAUUAUUUGGAUGUUCGGCCAUAUCCAGAUAUAUAUAGAAGAAUGAAUUUAUGUAUGUGUUUAUGUUUGAGUGUUCGUAGUGAUCAUAAUCAAUGUCAUCUGCGUCAGUCUAAUUAAAUAAAUAUGUUGCUGUUCUUGGUUUCUUGAAAAUGUAUUACGUGCAUGUAAUUCUCAGCAAUAAUGGAUUUAAUUAAUUAUAUAUGAUCAGAUUCUGUCUCUAAUAGUAUGAGUUAUAUAGUAUAUAUGUACUGAUCUCAAAUUCCGUUUCCAGGAGUUUUUUUUUUUUUUUUCCUUCAAGUUUUUACAUUUCCAGGUUUUUCAAUUUUGUUGGUUUAAAUCAUGGGAAAUUCAUUGGUGAUGCUAAGAAACAAAGAUCGUUGUUUCAAAUCCUAUGUUGUCAACUCUUUCUAUUUUAUUUGGAAUGAGUUAUAUAUUUCAUUUCAGUUUAAAAAAUAAAAAAAACUAAGAACGGAUUUUAUCUUGCUUAAAAAAAUAUUAUCUAGUUUUACCAUAUCAAUUAUAUUUCUCGAUCCAACUAUUGAAUCAGGCUGAAAUUAUAUGAGUCUCCAGAUAUAUUGUGAUAUUUCAAGUUAAAAGUUUAGAAAUGCCUUGCAACAUUUUCUGAAUUUUGUUUCUAAAAGUUAUUUUUUUAUGUUUUUUUCAAUUUUAUCAUUUAACAAUAGGUUUAUUAAAACUUAAACUGCAUAAUUUGUUUUGAUUUAUUUUAUUUAUCAUGCAUUUGAAAAGUUAAUUUUUAUUUUUAUUUUUUGCUAUUUUGUGCGCUUUUCAAGUGUCUGAAAAUGAAGAUUUCCAUUGAUUUAAAACCAUAGAGACUCCAUAUAUAUAGUUUUUGAAAUCAUGGGAACUAACUCAUUGGUGAUGCUAAGAAACAAAGAUCGAUGGAUUCAAAUACUAUGGUGUCAAUAUUGAGAUAUAAUCCUAUCGUAACAACAUAUCAUUUAUAAAAUUAUAUUUUCCAAUCUAAUUAUUAGAUUAUGCUAAAAUUUUAUAACAAAUCUCCUAACAUAUUAUGAUACCUCAUGUUAAAAGUUUAGAAAGGCUUGCAAAACUGUCAAUUGCAUUUAUAAUUUUGUUUUGAAAGUUUAUCCUUUUAUCUUUCUUUUUUUUUAGAUUUGAUUAUUUUUCAAUUUUUUAUUUAACAAUAAGUUUAUUAAAAAUUGAGCUAUAUAAUAUUUUUAAUCAAAUUAUAUUUUUAUUAGUUGUAUAAAUUAUGUGCUUUAAAUUAAUAUUUUAAAUUAUAAACAGUUUGGAACGAUAUGUGAAAACGCUAUGAAACUAAAACAUGAAAAAACAGAACACUAACUGGAACGGAUUUGUUUAAACAGAGCAAUUGUAACAUGGACUCCACCAUUAGCCUGUGAACUCAAGAUUCCAACUUCCCCUUUCCUUCCUAGUUUAUGUGAAGUUUGCUUACUCAUUCACAUCAGAGGACAGUUUUCUUUUCUUUAUUUUUCUUUUGUAAAGAAGUUUGAAGCAUCAGGAAACUAGCUCAGUAUUGAAUUGAAACAUGUCUAGUCCUUUAAAAUUCACAGAACGUAACAGGGAUAGUGAGAGUAAUUCAAUAAAGAAGCACUCAAACCAUAUCAUACAUAACUGAGAAGAGAAACUUACUUCGUUCCUCCUCCUCUUUUGAUAAGCCCAGAUGGAGGGAUUCACAGAAGGCAUCAAAAUUGCCCCAAACCUGUAGCAAAACGCAAAGUUGGUUGGCAUACAAUACUCCUGCUAAGGAACUUGAAGAAAGAAAGCGAUUUGGCAUCGCUGCAGCAGCUAGAGAGAUCUUGAAAGAGAUGCUUAGCCUACCUCUUUACAUGUAUCAAAAACAAGAACACCCAAUAUUCCAAUUCUGGUUCACAUCCAAGAUAUUGAAGAGGUCAAUGCUGCGGUCAAUGCAGACGAGAGUGUUGAGGUCAACAGCCAAGUCUCCAUGAUUUGCUUCCUAAUUGGAUCCUCAAAAACAAAGAGCAAAUACCAUGAGAAUAUUCGAAAGCAAUAAUUGAAGGGGCUUAAGCAAAGAUGCCGUUCAUAUAUAUUAAGAGAUUAGGUAAAAAGAAUGGGGAACUACCUGGAACGUAGGACGAGAUUGCGUUUGAAGGAAAAGAAGCGGUAUUAUUUUGACUCACAAUCUUGGAACAAGUACAAAUAAGUCCUUCUCCUUUAUAGUCUGGCUAAUCUACCCCCAAGCUUUGUCUUGCCUUGGCCUUUUGCCCUCUCUCACACUGCAGCUAUAAAUCAUGCUCGUCUUCUGUUUUCGCAGAUACAAAACCCCAGUACUUAUAUUUGGAAUACCAUGAUUAGAGGCUACUCUGAAGCCAAAAUGGGCCAUAGUGGCUUCUUGUUUUUCUGCCAAAUGCUUCAGAAUGGCGCUGAAAUGGACUGUAGGAGCUUUGUUCUUGCGCUCAAAGCGUGCGAGCAGUUUUUGAGAGUUUUAGGAGGGAAAUCAGUUCAUUGUGGUAUUCGAAAGAUGGGUUUUGUUUAUGCUAUGUUGUUUCAAGAUGGGUUGGCUCGUUUUUAUGAUCUGCUGCGUGGUUGUUUGGGUUUUGCUUGACACUUGUUUGAUGGAAUUCCUGCUAGAGAUGGACUUUCUGUCUAUGACUGAUGGAUAUUCUAAGCGUAACUGUUGGGAUGAGACUUCGAAGCUUUUUGACUCGAUGUCAGUGGAGGGCAAUGUAGAGCCCGAAGAGGUCACUAUGAUAGCCGCUCGUUCAGCUUGCUCGCAGAAGGGGGGUUUGAGAUCAGGGAAGAGUUUUCACGAAUAUGUAAGACUAGAAAUGGAAAUCACCAUGAAUGUGAAACGUGGCUGCUUGGAUUCUGCAAGAGGGAUCUUAGAUACCAUUGACCGUUUAUUGUUUUUUUUCACUUAUUAAGACUUACAGUUCUUUUCUAUUAUAUGUAUGUAUAUUUUUAUUUUUUUUCACUUGAAAUUUUUUUAAAUACAAAAAAAUAUUGAAAAAGUCUAUAUAUAAUUUUUUUUGUUAUAUCCAGUAUAAACUAAAAGAGGUGGUGCUUUUAUUGUGCACUACCUUGUAAAAUACUAUUCAUUUCAAUAGUAUUUUUUUGUCUUUUGUUUUCUAAAUAUAUAUUUUUUUUUAAUUUUAUAUUUUAAUAUUUUGUUUAUUGAAAAUUAGGUUUUAUAAUUUAUUGUGGUUUGCUUUAUACGUGGUUAGCUCGAUCUUGUAACCCGUGUCACAGGUUUGGCGGGUUGACUCUAGUUUUAUUUUUCUUUUUUAAUUGAUAAUUUUUUUUCAAUUUCAUCAUUCAACAUUAGGUUGAUUGGAAAUUAGGUUUCAUGAUUUAUUUUGGUUUGCUUGAUAUAAGAUUAUCUCGGUCUCAUUACUUGAGUCGCGGGUUUGGCGGGUUAACCUAGUUAAUUCGAGUUUUUAUUAACUUUUUAUAUUGGAAUUUUUUAUAUUUCAUCCUUCAACAUUUAGUUGAUUAUGAAUUAGGCCUCAUGAAUUAUUUUGGUUUGCUUUCUAUGGGGUUAUCUUGGUCUUAUACUCGGGUCACGUGUUUCGUGGGUUAACCCGGAUAAACUCUUCUUGUUUUGUUGUAUCCUAUUUUUAAAUUUAAUUUUCUUUAUUUUCAACCUUUAACAAUGACAUUAUUGAAAAUUAGGCUUCAUAAUUUUUUUAUUUGCUUUUAACAGAGUUAUCACAGUCUCAUGACCUUGGUCGCGAGUUUGACAGAUUAAUUCAGGUUGACUCAGGUCUUUUUUUUAUUUACUUUCUAUGAGAUUAUCCUGAAUUUUUUUUUUCUAAUUUCAUACUUCAAUACUUAGUUUAUUGGAGAUUAGGAUUCAUAAUUUAUUGUGAUUUGCUUUAUACGUGGUUAGCUCGGACUUAUAACCCGUGUUGCAGGUUUGGCGGGUUACCUCGAGUUUGUUUUCUCUCUUUUUAAUUGACCCCUUUUUUUUCAAUUUAAUCAUUCAACAUCAAGUUGACUGGGAAUUAGACUUCAUGAUUUAUUUUGGUUUGUUUUUUAUGAGGUUCUCUUGGCCUCAUGACUCGAGUCGCGGGUUUGGCGAGUUAACCCUGCUGACUUGAGUUUUUUUUUUUUAACUUUUUGAUUGGCAUUUUUUAUAUUUCAUGAUUCGGCAUUGGUUUGAUUGUGAAUUAGGCUUCAUGAUUUAUUUUGUUUUGCUUUCUAUGAGGUUAUCCAGUCUUAUGCUCGAGUCACGUGUUUUGCGGGUUAACCCAGGUAGACUCAAGUUGUUUCACCGUGUUCUAUUUUUAAAUUGAUUUUUUUUUCAUUUUCAACCUUUAAUAAUGAGUUUAUUAAAAAUUAAGCAUCAUAAUUUAUUUUGAUUUUCUUUUAAUAGGGUUAUCACAAUAUCAUGACCUUCGUCGCAGGUUCGACAUAUUAAUCCGGGUUAAAUCAAGUAAUUUUUUUGUCUACUUUUCAUGAGGUUAUCUUGAUAUGAUGACCCGAAUCACAGGUUUGGCAGGUUAACCUAGAUAAUUUUUUAUUGUUUUUUAAUUAAUUGUUUUCAUUUACAUUCUUCAACAAUGAGUUGAUUGGGAAUUGAGCUUUGUAAUUUGUUUUGAUUUAAUUUUUAUAGAGUUAUCAUGGUCUUAUAAUCUAGGUCGUCGAUUUGACAGAUUAACAUGUGUUAGCCCGAAUCGAUUCAAUAUGUUUUCAUUCUAAUAUUAUUUUAAAAAAAAAAGAUGUUGCCUUGAAUUUUUGUUAAUCAAACAAUGUUUUUACAAGUUGUCUUGGGUUACUUAUAUCCGUCAGGUCGAUCAGGUCACAUCGGCUCAACCUCCACGCGGUUUUAAAAAAUAUUUACUUGAAAAAUAUUAGCAAUGUCUGGAUGUUUCUUUUGUUUGCUAAAAAAAUUGAUCUGACUUGAGGCGUAAAGCAGGUCAACGAUCUAGUCUAUCAACAAAAACUAAUGGAGGGAAAUCAUUGUUCCUCUCCUUGAACGCUACUAUUUAAGUGUUGUUCAUUGGAAAGAAUGUAACCCGUGCCACACCGAGGGUCGGACCAAACUGUUACAAACACUAAAAAAGAAUAUUCAAGCGAUGAUAAUCUGAGACAACCAGGUUAAAUUAACUAAAACACAGCCUGAGAUAUGAGACUGAAAGAAUCAGUAAAAAAAAAAAAAUAGAAAGUUCAAGGCCUAAUAACCUAAUGUCAAAGAUAAAAACAAAAAAAAAGCUUCAAAAAAUACAAUGCCGAAAAAGAAAACCAGAGUCAGCUCGGGUAACUUGACAAACCAACAACCCAUGAUAUGACUUUGGGAUGAAAAAAAGAAUUUCAAAAGGAUGACCUAUGUCGCACCGGACAUCGCAGCAGCCUUAAAAUUUUAUAUUUCAUGGAAAGAAUGGAUUUCUGGCAUCCUAUUCUUUAUUGGGGAACGAUAUUGUUUAAGGAGUCACCACCUAGUAUUAUGGUUACUAGGAACCCUAACUGGUCAACAGAGAUUCUAUGGUUCGGGACUAGUUACGUAAAAGGAAAGAUAUUAUCACCCCUUAAACGUCCUGCCUGUGGCAGACCUCAUUGCUGGUUUUGCCUUAAAUUGCUAAAUAUUUAUUAGAUUAUACUAUUAUAAUUUGCUUAUAAUAUUCCUGACUCUAGCAUCAGUGAAUGUUCAACUACGGAUACUUCUAACUCUGGCGUUAGUAAAUAUUACGUAGCUAUAAAAUAAAUUUAUAUCAAUAUUUUUAUUCCUGACUCUAGCGUCAGUGAAUAAAUAAAAAAAAUAAAUUUAUGUUAUUUUUAUUCAUGCAUACACAUAUUUUUUAUUAUUUUUUAUUUUUUAUUUUUUUUAUUUGAGGCUGGGCCCAGCUCAGCCCAUAUGGGCUGGGCUAGACCCAGCCAGCCCGGCUGGGCAAAGCAACACGCGUGAGCUAAUUCACGCGUGUUGCUCACUGUUCAAGUGAAUUAAAAUUCACUUGAACAGUGCAAUGUGCUAAUUAUUUGGAGAAUGUAGCAAAGCGGGAGGAGAAAGAUUGCUUACCUGAUCUGCUGGAGGCGAUGAAGACGACGGUGAAGUUGAUGUUAGUCUAUGUGUUUUCUGCUUGCGUUUUUCCUUUUGCUUUCCUUGUGAUUCUGUCUGAAUUUAUUCCUCUGUUUCCUUCCCCCCCGAAUUCUCUCCGUUUUUGGUCUCUCUCUCGCUGUAAGCCCCCCCCUGCUCGUCGUCUCCUCUCUUUAUGCUCACGGCUUUCUGUGAAUUUGUUUUGACUGAUCCCUUUCUACUCUGUUUCGUUCUUCGUUUGCCCAAGUUCGUCCUCCCAGUUUUCUUCCUCCGUUCUCUCCUGCCCCUUUUCUUCCCCCCCCCCCCCCCCCCUCCCUUGCUGAGGCCUUUCUCUGGCUUUUAUAAAGCCAGAGAAGGUCUUGUGUCCCGGCCUCCAGAAAUGGCGGGCAUCGUGGAGGCGAGAGAUCGUGGCUUCAGGAAUGGCAUCGUGGGCAUAGUGGCUGUGAUCUGCUGAAUCUUCCCCUGGCCAUGAUCUGCUGAAUUUCACUGUUAAACCGGCUUCCUACGCGCGAAACGAAGGAGACAAUGAACAAUGCUUCCAAAACGGCGUCGUUGUGUCCUUGGGCAUCUGUUUUUCACUUUGGUCCCUAAACAGUUUAAACUUAACAAUUGGGAUCCUAAUCAGUAAUAAUUGAUUUCUUGUGCCCUUGGGUUAAUUUCAAUUAAAUCCCUGAAUUUAUUUAAUUAAUUAAAUCAAAGUUUAAUUAAGUCCACAAACUUAUUAAUUCUUCUGAUUUCAUUUAAUUAAACUAAUCCAAAUUUUAAUUAAAUUUCCAAACUUAUUAAUUCUUUAAUUUCUGACCAAUUUACUCUCAAAUCUGAUAAUUUCAUCCCUGAACUUCGAAUUUGUGUUGUUUUAACCCCAUUCUCAAAUAUAUUUUUAUCCAUUUAUUUUUUUUAUUCAAAAAUUGGGUUAUGACAACCUAGUAAAAAAAAACCAAAGUUUGAUGAUAAAAUGUCAAAAAAAACUUGAGUCAAUCAUAGUUAACUUACCAACCUGCUAUCGGAAUAACCAAACACUAAGAAAAGUGAAAAAAUAAAAAAGCUCAAGGGCAAAUAAUUUAAUGUAAAAUGAUAAAAUUAAAAAAAAAAGCAUAAAAAAAUUCAAGGGAAAAAAUCCUAGUCAAUCUAGGUUAACUUGACUAACCCAUCACACACGACAUGAGAUAUUGAUGGAAAAAAAAAUCAGACUUCCUAAAAAGGACCAGGCAAAAAAGGUCUAAGUUAAAUAAAAAAACAUUGUGAACAAAAAUGCAAGAUGACCCUAGUUAACUUGAUCAACCCACUCUUGAAAUAACGAAAUAGAAAGAGAAGAAAAAAAAAUAACAAAGCUCAGUGCAAAUAAUUUAAUGCAAAAUGAUAAAAAUAAAAAAUAAAAACAAAGUCAUAAAAAAAUUGGGGAACACCGAGUCAACUCGGGUUACCUCGACUGACCCGCCACUCGCGGCAUGAGAUUAGGAUGAAAAAAAUUAGACUUCCAAAAAAAGAACCUAGCGAAAAAGACUGUAGUUAAAUAAAAAGACAUCGUGUAAGAAAAUGCAAGCUAACCGGGGUUAACUUGAUUAACCUGUACUCGGGAUAACCCAAAAUAAUAAUAAAAAAAGUGAAAAAAUCACUUAGCUCAAUGACCAAUAAUUUAACAACAAUGUAUGAAAUUGUUAAAAAAAUCAAUUUCAUAAAAAAAAUAAAGGGGAAAAAACAUGAGGCAAUCAUGGUUAACUUGACUAAUCUAUUACCUGAAAUAUGAGAUCGAGAUAACUCAAUAAAAAAAAGAAAAAUAAUGAGUUAAGGGCUUAAUAACUAAAUGUCAAAGGAUAAAUUAAAAAAAAAUAUCAUUAAAUACCUGUUGUAACAGUGUCAAAUGUGCAUGGGAUGCACACUUCGGCAGGCUGUCCAAAACAGGGCCUGAGGGUGCUGGCAGCCAUGCCAACAGGGGCAGAAAUUGGCAGCGCAGAUUUGUGCAGCUGUAGGUUCGUCAAAGAAAAAUCGGCAGCGCAGAUUGUUGACGAACAUGGGCUGGACGAUGGACUGUCCAGGCCACGCAGGAAAACUCGUCAGGGGGAUAGGCUGACGAGAACUGGGGCUGUCGAGGAAUUCGGCAGCGAAGACAUUGGCAGCCUGCACGCAGAUGCGAAUUCGGCAGCGCGCAGCAGCUUGUGCAAGUCGUUGGCUCGACUUGGCACGAUCUGAAACUUGGACGAAGGACUGUCCAAGGCAUGUGAGUGACUCAACGGAUGACGCAGCAAGAGCUGGCAGCAGGGGCUGCCAGGUGGGCAUGCAGAACGUGGGUAGUGGCAGUUAUGGAUAUCCAAGAUCAUGUGGGUAGUGGCAGUUAUGGAUAUCCAAGAUCAUGGGAUCAUGGGGGCUGACCAGGGGUUGCUCUCAACCCACUAAAGAUCAUGGGGGGAAAACUUCUCACUACUUGGUAGAUAAUGGGGCCACUAUGUUCAUGGGUGAACAUGGGUGAGAUAGUGUCCCACUACUUCCUUAAAAGUAGGAAUGGGGGGUGUGCCUUGUAAAUGCUUGUCUAUAAAUACUUGUGGUAGCUUUUGGUUGAGGGGGGCGGCAUGUAUGGGCAUGCAGCAGCAUGCGUUGGGAAUGUUCAGCAUGUAGGGGCAUGCAAGAACAUGUAGAGCACUAGUUAGAGGUAGCUUGGUGUAGCAUGCAAUCUUUGUGCAUAGCACACAUACGGAAUUGUGUAUAGUUUCCUUUGUUAACGAGAUCAAUAAAGGUGGGGACAGAGUUCCUAUAAAGCUUGUUGUGCACUUUGAUUCUUAUUCUUACUUGUGUAUUCCGCUUGCUUAGUUACUAGGCAAACACGAGUGGGAUUGGCGAGGGAAGGCUGAGUCUAGCGAGGGACUAGGCUGCCGCACGGGUUUCUUCGCGGAGCGAAAAAUUACCCCGUGACACCUGCCAUGUUGGGAGAUAACUAUAAAAAAAAUAACAAAAUAAAAUAUUUAAAAGGAUGAUCGUAGCAUUAACGGUGAAGCACUUCCAGAUGGAAGUCAAGAGUGAGUUAGAAGGUUUCAGCAGUUGCGUUUGAAGCUUAAGACGGCCAAUAACUGAGCUGGUGUUUCAAGAUUCAGCCGUGUAAAUUGUAAAACUAAUUGUGAUUGGAUAGUAAUUGUCCGUCUAAUUAGUGCACUGAUUAUUGUUUGUAAAAUAGAAAGUUGAAAUAUAAAUAUAAAACGAACAAACAUAUUUCGGAUUACAAGAUAAGUAUGUUUUUUUUUUUUUGGUGUCUAAACCAUCUAUCCUCGGAGUAAAACGUCAUUGCACGCCCAUAGUGCUGACGGUCUCGGUCGAUGGCACAGACACCAUUUAUUCUUUGGGCUUCCGAGCAUUUCAAAUCGAUGCAUGCUGCAGAGAUCGAGCGUAAUUCUAGCAUUAUUAUAUUAUAAAAAAUAUAUUGUGGACCCAGAAUUGGAAAUGACUUCAAAUUAUGCACAGGCAUGGAAGGACUUGCCCUUCAACAAUAUCGUGCACCUUGUUGCUUAUUCGAACAAAAACCUCGCAGAAAUCUCAAGAAAAAAUUUACAAAACCAAAUUCUCAAUCAGCUCAAUAUUAAAAAAAAUUGACAAAUAUAAUUUUGAAAAAUAAAGAAAUAAAAAAACAACAUUUUCUAAAAUCACAAGUGCCAAAAAUAAUGGGAAGGAUGGGCUAGGUAAAAUACAAUUAACUGAUAACAAACCUUAUUUAUUCUUGUAGUUUUUUUAUUAAAUGGGGUCCUUGGCCAUUGCCCAUGUUGCCCAAAAUGCUCUAGCUCACUAAACACUUAGACAAGCAUGCAAGAUCUUCAGCAAGUGUUUGGUUUUCGCAAGUUAGAACGAACGAGGUGCACGAGAGGCAAUACGAGCGUACCUCCCGACUCAUUUAGUCUUUGAAAAAGCGUAGUCAUAAGCCUGCGCUUCUCUUGUUCUAUCUACAAAUAAUCCAUCAAGAUUUAACUAACGCCAUGCGAAAUCGAUCAAAUGAACAAGAUUUCCGAAAUCUCUCGCUCGAUGUCUUUCUACCGUGAAUACAGUAGCUAGCUAGUAUAAAUUAACAAGGUCCUUGCAAGAAACCAUAUCAAUCCAGCAGAUAGCUUAAACAUAACCAUUUCUCUCUUUUUUCACGACCCUUGAGAAAAAAAAUGCAGAUCUUCAGCAAAGUGUUGAGAGAUACUGAUGUCCAUGUUCGGUUCUCGUUCCCAACUCAUUGCUUAGAGCAUUUAGAUUUUGCUGGAAAUAAUUCUGUUGAUUUGUAUGUUAAAGAUAGCUGCGGUGAGCUUCGAGUUAUUCGUUGCCUGAAGAGAAAUGGAGUUUAUGACAAGCCAGUGCUUUCUAUGGGCUGGCUUAAAUUUGUUGAUGAUUAUGGACUGAGAGUUGGUGACAUGGUUGUUCUUCAUCGUGAGGAUGACCAUAACCUGGGGUCACAGUUCAUGAUUGAAGCUAAGAGGAGAAUGAAGCUGUUUGGUGAGGAGGAUUGGGGUGAAGUGACAAGAGAUAACUAGCUAUUAUUUGCAUGGAGCGUGGAUGUUCGGCCAGAUCCAGAUAUAUAUAGAAGAAUCAAUUUCCUAAGUUUGGUGUUUUUGUGUGUGUAAAUUAAACAAAUAUGUUGCUGUUCUUAGUUUCUUGAAUAUGUAUUACGUGCAUGUAAUUCUCAGCAAUAAUGGAUUUAAUUAAUUAUAUGUGAUCAGAUUCUGUCUCUAAUAGUAUGAGUUAUACAGUAUAUAUGUACUGAUCUCAAAUUCCGUUUCCAAGAGUUUUUUUUUUUUUUUUUCCUUCAAGUUUUACAUUUCCAGGUUUUUCAAUUUUGUUGGUUUAAAUCAUUGGUGAUGCUAAGAAACAAACAUCAUUGUUUCCAAUCUUACGGUGUCAAUCAUGGUUGUUAAAAUCAUGUUUUGACUCGUAAAAUUGUAUGAUUUUACAAGUCAAAAUAUACUUUACAUGCUGAAUCGUUUGAAAAAAUAAAAAUAGAUGAAAUCAAAUUGAAAUUGAAUGAAAUCGUUGAAAAUCACGAGUUCAUGACCGAUUAAACGACUUCACCAAAACACAUAAACUGAAGUAAAUGUUUCCCUCCAUGCUCCAGCUGUCCGGCGUCUAUUGGCUGGGUAAAUGCACAGUCACUAAUAAAAACAAAGUCUCCAGUCAUCAGUGCGUCGCCUUUCUUCCUUUUCAAUGAGAACAAAUCCCUAAUCUCCUUCUCUAUUAACCAACCAGCAACCACAAAAGCGGCGACGAUCAGUCCAGUCUUCACUACAGUAGCUAGCUAGUUAUAAAUUAACAAGCUCCUUGCAAGAAACUAUAUCAAUCUAGCUGCAGAUAGCUUAAAGGCAACCAUUUCUCUCUUUUUUCACGACCCUUGAGAAAAAAAUGCAGAUCUUCAGCGAAGUGUUGGGAGAUACUGAUGUUCGUUUUCGGUUCUCGCUCCCAGCUCAUUGCUUACAGCAUUUAGAUUUUGCUGGAAAUAAUUAUGUUGAUUUGCAUGUUAAAGAUAGCUCUGGUGAGCUUCGAGUUAUUCGUUGCCUGAAGAGAAAUGAAGAUUAUGACAAGCCAGUGCUUUCUAAGGGCUGGCUUAAAUUUGUUGCUGAUUAUGGACUGAGAGCUGAUGACAUGGUUGUUCUUCAUCGUGAGGAUGACCAUAACCUGGGGUCACAGUUCAGGAUUGAAGCUAAGAGGAGAAUCAAGCUGUUUGGUGAGGAGGAUUGGAGUGAUGUGACAAGAGCUAACUAGCUAUUAUUUGCAUGGAGCGUGGAUGUUCGGCCAUAUCCAGAUAUGCAUAGAAGAAUGGAUUUC